Lathyrus oleraceus (garden pea) is the source of this 1978-nucleotide long non-coding RNA. RefSeq lists it as uncharacterized. The record is from RefSeq and is a predicted model, not a curated record. NCBI's taxonomy places the organism in Eukaryota, Viridiplantae, Streptophyta, Magnoliopsida, Fabales, Fabaceae. The transcript is spliced from 2 exons.
AUGAGAAAGGGGAGGGAGUACAUGUAAAGUACAAGGGAUUGUAGGAAAUAAAAGGUCUCAUUGUCAGGUAGCCCAAGAGAAAGCCAUGUGUGUGCAAUUGUGUCAUAAACUAGAAAGCAUGCAAAACUAUCCUAUUUCUAACAUUAGGGGUACAAUCGUCAUUUCACAUUUGUGGAUUAAUAUUGAAUUAAAUUUCUAUUUACGAAAUUCUAAUUAAAGUCAUUUCUAAAAUCUAAGUAAUUCUAAUUAUUCUAAAUCCUAGAUUAAUCUAAAUUUAAUACUCCUAAUUAAACUCUAGAAUUCUAACAUUAUUUUUUAAUCCUAAUUCUAAAUUAAAAAAAUCUAAUAAUAUUUCUAAUAUCUUCUAAACUUAAUUCUAAAAUUCUAAAAUUAAUCCUAAAAUUAAUAUUUCUAAUUAUCUUCUAAACUUAAUUCUAAAAUUCUAAAAUUAAUCCUAAAAUUAAUAUUUCUAAUUAUCUAAUUACCUAAACUAAUCCUAACAUCAAUUAAUUCUAACAAUUUUUUUAUUAUCCAAUUAAAAUCUAAUUAUCCUAAGUUUAUGGAUCUAAUAACUCAUGAGCAAUUAUCUAAGCAAAGGAAUUUAGUGGGGGUGCAGGAUAAUGGAGUGAUUCGUUUGGGCCUUCCACACCGUCAAUGGUCCAGACUUCACAAACUCAAUUCAGCUCCACCAAAAACGAAUUCGCCCUAAUCAUUCAUGAAUCAGACCACUUCACCGCCGUCGUCCAAACAACACACGCCAUGGAAACAAAGGGAACGCACCUCCGCUACUAGCGCCGCUUCGACCUUUCACGAGGAAUCAGGGCAAAGAUUCGAGCGUGCAUCCACAGCCAAUGCCAAAAACUGAACGCUAAAUGGAAAAAUCGUGUAAAACAGAAGAGAUCGAAGAGCGGAAUCCUACCGAUCUCGCUCUGUGUGGAGACGAUGAUGGUGAAUUCUUGCCGUUGUUCGCCGAGUCGACUCGCCUUGUCGCGAAACGCAGAUGAAGGAUGAAAAGCUUGAAGAUCGACGGGAUUCACGGUUGAAACAGUGGAUUGAUUUCGGCCUCGAUCGUGCGUUGGCGGAUUCUAGCAGUUCUGAGAGUUGCGAUCUGUUUUUGAAAAGGAUUAGCGUUUGUUCUGUUGCAUCGUUACAGUUGUUGCCGGUGGAUCACGAUUUGCAGAACUCUUCACAAGUCCUUCAGAAUCGAUGCGUUGCCGAUGAAGGUUUCUGCUUCUACUUCAAAGAGUGAAGGAUGGUUGAAUCGUGGAUCGAGAUUCUCCGGUGGAUGAAGAGAGAACGAGCGUUGAUCUCCACUUUGCCGUGAGUUUGUCCUCUCCUCCGCUACCUUUUCGUUUUCCUUUCCUUCCAAUUUCUUCUGUUAUCGAGCUUUUUGGAAGAUCAUGGCAGCGGCUAUGGAGGAUUAAAGGUGAGGUUAAGUUCGAUCGGUGAAUAUUGGUGAGAGAAGAGGAGGAUUGGAAUUUAGUGAGGGUGAAGGUUGUGGUUGAAGGCGAGAUUACGGUUAUCGAGACUAGAGUUUGGUGAAGGUUUUGGUUGAAGGAUUGGAAGAGAGGAAGAAUCUGGAAGGGGUGAAGAUUGAUUUAUAGAGUGAUGGAGAGUUUGGUGUUGGCUCGGCUGGGUGUUUGGAAGCUUGCGCUUGCUCACUUGCCUUGCUGCGUUUCACUUGCCUCUCAGCUUUUGUGCGUGUUGCGCUUGUGGCUUGGAGCUUUGGAUGUAUUUCUCUUGCCCUGGCUUUCAAUUGUCGCCUAAACCGUAGCAGCUUCUGGAAGUGUGCUGGCUAGCUCGCAAGUUGCGUUACCACUUGAAGUAUUGGCUUGAAUUUUCCCAUCAUUGUAGCAUUGCAGUUUCUGUUUAGCAGUUUUUUCCACUUUUUGCCUUUUGCUGUAUUAGGUUAGUAUUAUUUAGGGACAAUGGAUUUUGUGGUAAUGAAUUUUGGUUAAAUGCAAAAUGGUUUGGAUAA